RNAcentral lists this ribosomal RNA (836 nucleotides) under uncultured archaeon. Its description in RNAcentral is "bacterial SSU rRNA". It matches the Rfam family "Archaeal small subunit ribosomal RNA", at positions 21 to 859 of the family's 1478-position model. The record is from RNAcentral.
GGUCACUGCUAUCAGUGUUCGUCUAAUCCAUGCGAGUCAUAUGUUCUUCGGAACAUGGCGUACUGCUCAGUAACACGUGGAUAACCUGCCCUUGAGUCUGACAUAACUCCGUGAAACUGGAGAUAAUUCCGGAUAACGCAUAUCUGCUGGAAUUCUUUAUGCGUGAAAUGGAUUCGUCUGCCCAAGGAUGGGUCUGCGGCCUAUCAGGUAGUAGUGGGUGUAAUGUACCUACUAGCCGACGACGGGUACGGGUUGUGAGAGCAAGAGCCCGGAGAUGGAUUCUGAGACAUGAAUCCAGGCCCUACGGGGCGCAGCAGGCGCGAAAACUUUACAAUGCGGGAAACCGUGAUAAGGGGACACCGAGUGCCAGCAUUAUAUGUUGGCUGUCCGGGUGUGUAAAAUACACCUUUAGCAAGGGCCGGGCAAGACCGGUGCCAGCCGCCGCGGUAACACCGGCGGCCCGAGUGGUGAUCGUGUUUAUUGGGUCUAAAGGGUCCGUAGCCGGUUUGGUCAGUCCUCCGGGAAAUCUGACGGCUUAACCGUUAGGCUUUCGGGGGAUACUGCCAGACCUGGAACCGGGAGAGGUAAGAGGUACUACAGGGGUAGGAGUGAAAUCUUGUAAUCCCUGUGGGACCACCUGUGGCGAAGGCGUCUUACCAGAACGGGUUCGACGGUGAGGGACGAAAGCUGGGGGCACGAACCGGAUUAGAUACCCGGGUAGUCCCAGCCGUAAACGAUGCUCGCUAGGUGUCAGGCAUGGCGCGACCGUGUCUGGUGCCGCAGGGAAGCCGUGAAGCGAGCCACCUGGGAAGUAUGGCCGCAAGGCUGAAACUUAA